Cyprinus carpio (common carp) is the source of this 789-nucleotide long non-coding RNA. The record is from Ensembl. NCBI's taxonomy places the organism in Eukaryota, Metazoa, Chordata, Actinopteri, Cypriniformes, Cyprinidae.
AUGACGUCACAGUCCCUUAUAACCGCGCGCUCGCAGACAGUCUUCACAGUUAGUGACGGUGAGAAUCUGAGCGAGUUUGCGGAGUGCCAGAGAAAAUCUACAUACGAAAGUCUGCAGACACAAACACACAGUGUACAGACUAAAGUUAAGUCCACUCUCAGCGUCACGAUGCGGCCAGCAUCUGAGUCCGUGUCUAAUGAGACAGAAGCGGCUGCGUGGCUGGAUAACAUCAGCUUCUGCAGCGGCUUCUGUGAGUGGAUCGACGAAGAGUUGAUCGAUUCACUGCCAGCUGACUCCCAGCCGCCUGUCGAGUCGAAAAGAGCUUCAGAAGCAGUGAGUGCACAGCCUUGUGCUGAGAAAAGCCCGACAGAGAUUCCUCCUCGAGGCAACAGGAGGAGCAGAAUCCAUGCGUUCUUCAAGAGAGCCUGGAAGGCCGUGAAGAAGCCGUUCCUCCGCUGCAGACGGACACGAGUCGAGUCUGUCCCGGGACCCUCUGAGCUCCAGAACGUGCCUGACACCGAGCCCACAUCUGCCCCAGAUCUCCCCGACUGGAGGCCAACUACCAAAUCUUUGCACAAAUUGUACACACUGCAAGAUCUGAUAGGAACAGGAAGCUACGGCAAGGUGUUCAAGGCAGUCCGAAAAUCAGACGGCCGAGAGGUUGCCAUCAAAAGAACGCAGAAAUGGAGCAACUACUGUUCUCUUCAGAUUGUGAGUUGGCAAAGAGUAAAGAACACGUUUGGUUGUUUAAAGCUAUCUAACCGCUGGUGGUCUUGUCCUGUCCUCUAG